Prinia subflava (tawny-flanked prinia) is the source of this 2014-nucleotide long non-coding RNA. RefSeq lists it as uncharacterized. The transcript is spliced from 3 exons. The record is from RefSeq and is a predicted model, not a curated record. Lineage: Eukaryota; Metazoa; Chordata; Aves; Passeriformes; Cisticolidae.
UGGAGCUGUGUGGAGCUGUGUGGAGCUGCUGGAGCUGUGGGGAGCUGCUGGAGGGCGUUGGCUGUGUCUGGAUCAGACUCCACCGUCCAGGGAAAUCUCUGUUGAACAUCACAGAUGGGGAUUCUGCAGUGGUUUUAAAGUUCCUCUGGGAUUUUGGAUAAUGAGAACUUUGCCUUUCUUUACUUUUGCUGCAUUCUAAGUGUCAAUCCUACAGUGGUGUAAAGGGGCUGGAAUACUGAUUUUGGGGCAAGCACCCAGCUCUGGUGUUUUUCCUGUGGCUGCACAUUUCCUCACCGCCCUGAGCUGCUGUUUGCUGUCGUUCCUUAUCUUGUCUUGCUGCCUUAUCUGCCCCCAGAGGGAUGAGCAGCUCUGGGCUGGGCCUGAGUGCUUUGAUUGCAGCUUUUCCAGCCCCCGUUUAAGAAAUUAUCUCAAAAAAGCCGCUCUGCCAUUGCUGCUUUCCUGGGAGGCUGGAGUAGUAAGAUUGCUUGUGAUACAAGAUUUAAACCCCCAAUGUGACUGAAAUAAAUGUGAAAUGCGGGGACCGGCAGUGCUGGGAGCAGGGCAGGGGUGCGCGGGCUGCAGCUCCGGGGCGCUCCAGCAGAGCCCUCCCUUGUGCCGCGCUCCGGGGCUGUGGCUGCGCUGCAGCCUCGGGGCUCCGGGCAUGGCAAAGGGAAUUUUCCAACUUCCCGGGAAAUGCGGGGUCAGCGCUGCCCGGGGAGCUGCAGAGCAUCCCCAGCUGGGAAAGGGGACACGGCACUUCUAAUUCCCAGGGAUGCUCAGCUUUAUCCGGCCUUGGAGCUGCUUUGAGGGAGGGAUUUUGUGUCACUGAUCACCUCUGGUAAGGUUUAUCCAGUGAAUGCUCCCUGGGAGCUGCUUUGUGCCCCUUCAGCCUCGUUUGUCCCCACACUGAUGAGAGGCCCUUGGUUUGGAACCAUAUGACUGAAAAGCGCCUUUUUCCCCCCAAAGGUCUGUGAUUUUUGCUGCCUCACCUUUUGCAGUGUGGAGGAUGAGAGCUGGGGCGGCUGCUCCAUCCUCAGCAGUGCCCAGAGCUGGUCACUCCCGUUUUCCAGGGCAGCAGCACGGCUGGGUCCUCAAACAGCAUCCCUGGGAAGUUAUUUUUUAUUGAGGUAACGCUGGCAAGGAGGGGAAAGGCACCAGUACAACCCAGUCCUCAACUGGUGAGGAUGCUCUGACCUCCUGCUCCAGCCACAGGAGACAAGGCUGGAUUUAAUGGGAAGAUCUCAAGGACAAGGGAAGGGUUUGUUCAGGACUGAGGGGAUGAGCAGCAGCCCCUUCUGGGGAGUUGUGCAGGACUCCUGUGUGUGCACGACCUUUCCACGGGCAAAUCCUGCCUCAAGACAUUCCCAAGAGGGAGAACCCGGCCCCGGUGGCAGCUCAAGGUUGGUGCCUCACCAGAAGUUCCCCUGUGGUGAUUCAGUACUGGGGGGGCCUGACUGGGCCCAAAGGGGGAGCUGAGGCUCAGGGAACCUCAGCACUUCAUUCCCUCGGGGAUUUUGGCAGCCUGCUGGAGAGGGGGUGAACAGGGGGGAACAGCUCAUUUUGUGGUCACUGCAAGCUCACCAACAGCCUUGGCAGGUGCAGGAACAUCCACUGCACCCAGCUGAGCUUUGCUGAGUUACCCAGGUUAAAUUCAGAUUUGUGUAGUUUUUGUUUGGUUCCUUUUUUUAUAUAUUUAUACCAUUAUCAAAGCAUCCACUCAAAAACCGCUCAGUAUAAGCAGUGAACAACUGCAGAAAUUUGCUUUCCUCUUUCAGAUGUGCAACUGCAGCAGAACUGCAGGGCUGGGCAGGAGCAGGAGGGCUCUGGCAGCACCGGUGGCAUCCCCAGCUGGCAGUGGCAUCUCUGGGAGUGACCCAGGAGGUAAAAAAUAAUUCAGAACUGGACUUGCUGCAGAAUUCCCUGUUCAGACAUUUUAAUGUCCAGUGCCUGGCAGUGCAGAGGACAGGUGAUUAUGCAGGCCUGUCUUUGCUGCAGAAAUGGAUUUUUGGGUGCA